UGUUCCCCUGCACCCAAUAUUUAUCAAGAUACCUUUACAGCUUUUGACAGAUUUACUUUUCAGUCACCAGAAAUCAAUGUUAUAUUACAGCUAUUUCUCAAAGUAGGUAUGGAGUUUUCUUAGCACUGUAGUACUCAGGAUGUUAAGUGUAUCUUCAGGCUAAAUAGUUCCUCUACAUCAAUUAUUCUAAUAGAUGAUCUGUGCUAUUAGUAUCAUUACCAUUAUCACUUAUUCUAUGACACUGUAAUAAGAUGCCAAAAAAGUGAGUAAAAGUUGAGGAUCUUCUGUUCUCUGGGGUGUCAAGGCAUGGAUUUCUUGAAGAAAUAGAAUUGUAUUGUUCACAGAGGACUUCUUCAAGUCCAUUACUAUCGUUUAGGUAGUUAGAUGCCUCACAAGAUUAUGUAUUUCCUAAAAUGAUACCACUGGGAGCUAGUGAAACUUUUAGGAUAUCCUUAAGUCAUCAGGCAUGUACUCUUCAACAGGCUACCAGAAUUGUCCUCUUUCUAUUUGCUUCUGGAUUUGUAACAUAGUGAGUUUGCUCUACCAUCUGUCCCUGCCAUGAUACCUCGACCUGGCCCCACACAUGAAGAAAACAAACCACUCAGUCUUGGGCUGGAACUUCCAGAACUUUGACCCACUAUAAGUCUUUUUCUUUUAUAAGUUAAUUACCUCAGGUACUUUGUUACAGUAAUAAAUACCUAAUGGCUGUAUCAAUAUUUUAUAAUUUUCUUUAAUUAUCUUCAAAUACUUUCUCUCUAUACCUAAUUCUUGUUUAAAACUCCCUUAGGUAUUUACUCUCUCCUAUCUUUGUUAAAUCUUUUCUCAAAGCAUUUAACUUAUCUACCUUUAAUCCAAUAUAUAGGCAAAUAUAUUACAUAUAAGCUCCCAAUCUUGUAGCUGAUUUUUAAUUAUAAAAUAAAUAUUAGCAUCAGUUAAGAAGAAAAGGCUAUUUAAAUGCUCAUUAUCUUGUAAACUAAAUUCAGUGAUGCUGAAUAUUUCCAUUCAAUACUUACAAUGCAUGUUAUAUCAGCCCUUUUUUCAUUUAAUAUUUUAUGAAGACCAUAAUUGUUCUCAGAACCCUUUAUACCAGACAUAUCCCUCAACAUCAAACCAUAAAACCUCUGAUACAAUAUACAACUAACCACCAUCCUCCAGAGACUUGAAUUUAGUAGGGAGCAAAUAGUCAAUUUUAAAUAAUACCUUAGGUAAUUCUACUGCAGACACCU
Long non-coding RNA from Perognathus longimembris pacificus (Pacific pocket mouse), 1226 nucleotides. RefSeq lists it as uncharacterized. Lineage: Eukaryota; Metazoa; Chordata; Mammalia; Rodentia; Heteromyidae. The transcript is spliced from 2 exons. The record is from RefSeq and is a predicted model, not a curated record.